UAAUAUCUAUUCAGGCCAAUAACC
This 24-nucleotide non-coding RNA is filed under the name Arabidopsis thaliana (thale cress). Lineage: Eukaryota; Viridiplantae; Streptophyta; Magnoliopsida; Brassicales; Brassicaceae. The record is from RNAcentral.